CCUACGGGAGGCAGCAGUGAGGAAUCUUGGACAAUGGCCGUAAGGCUGAACCAGCCAAGCCGCGUGAAGGAAGAAGGACCUAUGGUUUGUAAACUUCUUUUAUAGGGGAAUAAAGGUAUCCACGUGUGGAUAUUCGCAUCUACCCUAUGAAUAAGCAUCGGCUAACUCCGUGCCAGCAGCCCCGGUAAUACGUAGGGGGCAAGCGUUAUCUGGAUUUGUUGGGUGUAAAGGGAGCGUAGACGGUGAUGCAAGUCAGAUGUGAAAGCCCGGGGCUCAACGCGGGGAGUGAUUUGGAAACUGGGGGACUGGAGUGCAGAAGAGGUGAGCGGAAUUCCAGGUGUAGCGGUGAAAUGCGUAGAUAUAUGGAGGAACACCAGUGGCGAAAGCGGCUCACUGGUCUGUAACUGACGUUGAGGUUCGAAAGCGUGGGUAGCAAACAGGAUUAGAUACCCCAGUAGUC
RNAcentral lists this ribosomal RNA (460 nucleotides) under uncultured bacterium. Its description in RNAcentral is "partial 16S ribosomal RNA". It matches the Rfam family "Bacterial small subunit ribosomal RNA", at positions 338 to 795 of the family's 1533-position model. The record is from RNAcentral.